Molecule: ribosomal RNA, 431 nt
Filed under: uncultured bacterium
Lineage: Bacteria
Description: partial 16S ribosomal RNA
Rfam family: Bacterial small subunit ribosomal RNA
Source: RNAcentral
AACGAACGCUGGCGGCAGGCCUAACACAUGCAAGUCGAGCGGCCUUUCGGGGGAGCGGCGGACGGGUGGGUAGCGCGUGGGGAUAUGCCCUUCUCUACGGAAUAGCCUCGGGAAACUGAGAGUAAUACCGUAUACGCCCUGUGGGGGAAAGGUUUAUCGGGGAAGGAUUAGCCCGCGUUGGAUUAGGUAGUGGGUGGGGUGAUGGCCUACCAAGCCGACGAUCCAUAGCUGGUUUGAGAGGAUGAUCAGCCACACUGGGACUGAGACACGGCCCAGACUCCUACGGGAGGCAGCAGUGGGGAAUCUUAGACAAUGGGGGCAACCCUGAUCUAGCCAUGCCGCGUGAGUGAUGAAGGCCUUAGGGUUGUAAAGCUCUUUCAGCUGGGAAGAUAAUGACGGUACCAGCAGAAGAAGCCCCGGCUAACUCCGUG